Molecule: ribosomal RNA, 530 nt
Filed under: uncultured bacterium
Lineage: Bacteria
Description: bacterial SSU rRNA
Rfam family: Bacterial small subunit ribosomal RNA
Source: RNAcentral
AAUAGAUACCCUGGUAGUCCACGCCCUAAACGAUGUCAACUAGCUGUUGGGGGCCUUCGGGCCUUGGUAGCGCAGCUAACGCGUGAAGUUGACCGCCUGGGGAGUACGGUCGCAAGAUUAAAACUCAAAGGAAUUGACGGGGACCCGCACAAGCGGUGGAUGAUGUGGAUUAAUUCGAUGCAACGCGAAAAACCUUACCUACCCUUGACAUGUCUGGAAUCCCGAAGAGAUUUGGGAGUGCUCGCAAGAGAACCGGAACACAGGUGCUGCAUGGCUGUCGUCAGCUCGUGUCGUGAGAUGUUGGGUUAAGUCCCGCAACGAGCGCAACCCUUGUCAUUAGUUGCUACGAAAGGGCACUCUAAUGAGACUGCCGGUGACAAACCGGAGGAAGGUGGGGAUGACGUCAAGUCCUCAUGGCCCUUAUGGGUAGGGCUUCACACGUCAUACAAUGGUCGGGACAGAGGGUCGCCAACCCGCGGAGGGGGAGCCAAUCCCAGAAACCCGAUCGUAGUCCGGAUCGCAGUCUGCAA